UGGGGAAUAUUGCACAAUGGGCGCAAGCCUGAUGCAGCCAUGCCGCGUGUAUGAAGAAGGCCUCGGGUUGUAAAGUACUUUCAGCGAGGAGGAAGGCAUUGUGGUUAAUAACCACAGUGAUUGACGUUACUCGCAGAAGAAGCACCGGCGUAACUCCGUGCCAGCAGCCGCGGUAAUACGGAGGGUGCAAGCGUUAAUCGGAAUUACUGGGCGUAAAGCGCACGCAGGCGGUUGAUAAGUCAGAUGUGAAAUCCCCGA
This 258-nucleotide ribosomal RNA is filed under the name uncultured Enterobacteriaceae bacterium. Its description in RNAcentral is "partial 16S ribosomal RNA". It matches the Rfam family "Bacterial small subunit ribosomal RNA", at positions 355 to 606 of the family's 1533-position model. Lineage: Bacteria; Pseudomonadati; Pseudomonadota; Gammaproteobacteria; Enterobacterales; Enterobacteriaceae. The record is from RNAcentral.